GAGCUAUGGUGACCUUGAAGCUCAGGCUGUUGAGAAGCUGCUUUUGUUGAGUUCAGUUAUUCCUGUUUGUGGUUCAGAUGUUCAUGAUUUGCCAAGUCCUACCCCUAUUUCAAACAGCGAAGAUCAAGGUGCGCAUGCAGCUGAAAAUAAAGAAUCUGGUCCAUCAGAUCUUCCUGACAGUGAAGCUCGAGGUGGGCAUGCAGGUGAAAAUAAAGAAUCUGGUCUGUCCAGUCUUCCUAUUCAGGAAUCAGGCCAAAGGUGGAGUAGUGCUUCUAGUCCAGUGGUUGGUGGGCCCCAGCUUCAUGAAAUAGCUGAUGAAUGGGGUAGAAGUUCGCCAGCUGCAAAACCAUCUACUGAAGAAUGGGAUUCUACUCUUGUUUCUGUUUCCUCACUGAAAUCGGUUGACACUGUGAGUGAUCGUGUUGCCACACCAUCUUCAAUUGCCAACCUGCUUACUGCAAAACCAUCUAUUGAAGAAUGGGAUUCUGGUCUUGUCUCCGUUUCCUCACUGAAACCAGCUGAAGCAGUGGGUGAUCAUGUCGACACACCUACAUCAGAUGCCAACCAACACCCUGAUAAUUCUUCAUCUAAUCCAAUCUCAAACUUCUCCGAUUGGCGAGCAAUCUUUGGUGAACCAAUAGAGUUCAGCACUUUGGAUGAGGAAUCCGUGUCAGACCUAUUAGCUGAAGUUGAUGCAAUGGAAUCUCAAACUCAAAGUGGUAUGGGUUCACCAACCUCCGCCAUGGCGUUCUGUGAGGAGACAAUAGCUGGAUGUAGAGGGGACUUUUUCAGCUUUUUGGAGGAGCUUAGUCCAACGCCUGACCCUGCAAAAAAUGAUGCCUUGAGCUCCACUGAAGAUAUACAAUUACCUUGUCAAUCCUCUCUGACAAACGAACUAGCGAGGACAUUACAUGCUGAAGCUUUUGAUCCUUUUAAGAGGUCUAGCAGGACUUCGUCUACUAGCAGUGAGGGAGAAACAAAGUCAGCUGAUAUUUCCUUUUCCCAGGGGGACACUGGGUUCAAUAUACCUACACCCUGCACCACGGGGAAAACUGCAGUUUCAGUCAUCAGCCAGAGUACUGAACUGGAAGCUAUAACCACCGACUGUUGUGCAGCACCUGGAAACAUGACAUACUGUGGACCAGUUCAGGGAUUCACAAAUGUUAAUCAAGGUAGCAGCAUGGGGACUGCAUGCGGUUAUUCAAACACGAAUGAUUCCCCUUUCACCGGGAAUACAUUGUCUGAAAGCCAGUGUAUAUACUCGGGGGAGAGGUCUGGUGGUCCAAGAGACUGGGUUAUUCCAGUAGGGGAUUUGGGAUUUGAAAGGGAUAGGUAAUUGUGGUGCAGACAGUCGUUUGGUGGCAAGGGAUACUCUUAACCUCCCCAAAAAUGACAAAUGUGUUGGCAAAUUUUAUGAGAGCGGACUUUGCAAGAAGGGGGAAUCAUGCGACUAUUUGCACCUUUGAGAAGGUAUGAACUUAAAGGUGAAAUCAAACAAUCAUUUUUUAGUAGGAUGAUCAAGAUGUAGCUAAAAUAUUAGUAUGAUUUUUUAGCUGAUCAAAUUUCAGUUAAAAAAGGCAGGAUACGAAAAGAACCCCACUGAGUUCCAUAAUGUUAACCAGGUAGAAACUAGUACACACUAAAGCAGACAAAAAUAGUUGUAUCAUUCUUGUAUUUGAUCCUGCAAUUGUUGCUCUAUGUACAAACUACAGCAGUGAAUUGAUGAAUUUGUAUGUAUACAUCAGAGAUUUUCUCUUUCGAGAUUGAUUAGUUUUCACUUUCAAUCUUGUUGGCAAU
RNAcentral lists this unclassified non-coding RNA (1797 nucleotides) under Hevea brasiliensis (rubber tree). Lineage: Eukaryota; Viridiplantae; Streptophyta; Magnoliopsida; Malpighiales; Euphorbiaceae. The record is from RNAcentral.